This 361-nucleotide ribosomal RNA is filed under the name uncultured bacterium. Its description in RNAcentral is "partial 16S ribosomal RNA". It matches the Rfam family "Bacterial small subunit ribosomal RNA", at positions 355 to 712 of the family's 1533-position model. The record is from RNAcentral.
UGGGGAAUAUUGCACAAUGGGCGCAAGCCUGAUGCAGCCAUGCCGCGUGUGUGAAGAAGGCCUUCGGUUGUAAGCACUUUCAGCGAGGAGGAAGGUGGUGAGCUUAAUACGCUCAUCAAUUGACGUUACUCGCAGAAGAAGCACCGGCUAACUCCGUGCCAGCAGCCGCGGUAAUACGGAGGGUGCAAGCGUUAAUCGGAAUUACUGGGCGUAAAGCGCACGCAGGCGGUUUGUUAAGUCAGAUGUGAAAUCCCCGGGCUCAACUGGGAACUGCAUUUGAAACUGGCAAGCUAGAGUCUCGUAGAGGGGGUAGAAUUCCAGGUGUAGCGGUGAAAUGCGUAGAGAUCUGGAGGAAUACCGG